RNAcentral lists this ribosomal RNA (253 nucleotides) under uncultured bacterium. RNAcentral's name for it is "partial 16S ribosomal RNA". It matches the Rfam family "Bacterial small subunit ribosomal RNA", at positions 524 to 776 of the family's 1533-position model. The record is from RNAcentral.
UACGGGGGGGGCAAGCGUUGUUCGGAAUUACUGGGCGUGAAGGGCUCGUAGGUGGCCAACUAAGUCAGACGUGAAAUCCCUCAGCUUAACUGGGGAACUGCGUCUGAUACUGGAUGGCUUGAGUUUGGGAGAGGGAUGCGGAAUUCCAGGUGUAGCGGUGAAAUGCGUAGAUAUCUGGAGGAACACCGGUGGCGAAGGCGGCAUCCUGGACCAAUACUGACACUGAGGAGCGAAAGCCAGGGGAGCAAACGGG